AUUGAACGCUGGCGGCAGGCCUAACACAUGCAAGUCGAACGGUAACAGGAAGAAGCUUGCUUCUUUGCUGACGAGUGGCGGACGGGUGAGUCAUGUCUGGGAAACUGCCUGAUGGAGGGGGAUAACUACUGGAAACGGUAGCUAAUACCGCAUAACGUCGCAAGACCAAAGAGGGGGACCUUCUGGCCUCUGGCCAUCGGAUGUGCCCAGAUGGGAUUAGCUAGUAGGUGGGGUAACGGCUCACCUAGGCGACGAUCCCUAGCUGGUCUGAGAGGAUGACCAGCCACACUGGAACUGAGACACGGUCCAGACUCCUACGGGAGGCAGCAGUGGGGAAUAUUGCACAGUGGGCGGAAGCAUGAUGCAGCCAGGCCGCGUGUAUGAAGAAGGCCUUCGGGUUGUAAAGUACUUUCAGCGGGGAGGAAGGGAGCAAAGUUAAUACCUUUGCUCAUUGACGUUACCCGCAGAAGAAGCACCGGCUAACUCCGUG
RNAcentral lists this ribosomal RNA (490 nucleotides) under uncultured bacterium. Its description in RNAcentral is "partial 16S ribosomal RNA". It matches the Rfam family "Bacterial small subunit ribosomal RNA", at positions 30 to 507 of the family's 1533-position model. The record is from RNAcentral.